CUAUUUAGGUAGCGCCUCGUGAAUUCAUCUCCGGGGGUAGAGCACUGUUUCGGCAAGGGGGUCAUCCCGACUUACCAACCCGAUGCAAACUGCGAAUACCGGAGAAUGUUAUCACGGGAGACACACGGCGGGUGCUAACGUCCGUCGUGAAGAGGGAAACAACCCAGACCGCCAGCUAAGGUCCCAAAGUCAUGGUUAAGUGGGAAACGAUGUGGGAAGGCCCAGACAGCCAGGAUGUUGGCUUAGAAGCAGCCAUCAUUUAAAGAAAGCGUAAUAGCUCACUGGUCGAGUCGGCCUGCGCGGAAGAUGUAACGGGGCUAAACCAUGCACCGAAGCUGCGGCAGCGACGCUUAUGCGUUGUUGGGUAGGGGAGCGUUCUGUAAGCCUGUGAAGGUGUGCUGUGAGGCAUGCUGGAGGUAUCAGAAGUGCGAAUGCUGACAUAAGUAACGAUAAAGCGGGUGAAAAGCCCGCUCGCCGGAAGACCAAGGGUUCCUGUCCAACGUUAAUCGGGGCAGGGUGAGUCGACCCCUAAGGCGAGGCCGAAAGGCGUAGUCGAUGGGAAACAGGUUAAUAUUCCUGUACUUGGUGUUACUGCGAAGGGGGGACGGAGAAGGCUAUGUUGGCCGGGCGACGGUUGUCCCGGUUUAAGCGUGUAGGCUGGUUUUCCAGGCAAAUCCGGAAAAUCAAGGCUGAGGCGUGAUGACGAGGCACUACGGUGCUGAAGCAACAAAUGCCCUGCUUCCAGGAAAAGCCUCUAAGCAUCAGGUAACAUCAAAUCGUACCCCAAACCGACACAGGUGGUCAGGUAGAGAAUACCAAGGCGCUUGAGAGAACUCGGGUGAAGGAACUAGGCAAAAUGGUGCCGUAACUUCGGGAGAAGGCACGCUGAUAUGUAGGUGAAGUCCCUCGCGGAUGGAGCUGAAAUCAGUCGAAGAUACCAGCUGGCUGCAACUGUUUAUUAAAAACACAGCACUGUGCAAACACGAAAGUGGACGUAUACGGUGUGACGCCUGCCCGGUGCCGGAAGGUUAAUUGAUGGGGUCAGCGCAAGCGAAGCUCUUGAUCGAAGCCCCGGUAAACGGCGGCCGUAACUAUAACGGUCCUAAGGUAGCGAAAUUCCUUGUCGGGUAAGUUCCGACCUGCACGAAUGGCGUAAUGAUGGCCAGGCUGUCUCCACCCGAGACUCAGUGAAAUUGAACUCGCUGUGAAGAUGCAGUGUACCCGCGGCAAGACGGAAAGACCCCGUGAACCUUUACUAUAGCUUGACACUGAACAUUGAGCCUUGAUGUGUAGGAUAGGUGGGAGGCUUAGAAGUGUGGACGCCAGUCUGCAUGGAGCCGACCUUGAAAUACCACCCUUUAAUGUUUGAUGUUCUAACGUUGACCCGUAAUCCGGGUUGCGGACAGUGUCUGGUGGGUAGUUUGACUGGGGCGGUCUCCUCCUAAAGAGUAACGGAGGAGCACGAAGGUUGGCUAAUCCUGGUCGGACAUCAGGAGGUUAGUGCAAUGGCAUAAGCCAGCUUGACUGCGAGCGUGACGGCGCGAGCAGGUGCGAAAGCAGGUCAUAGUGAUCCGGUGGUUCUGAAUGGAAGGGCCAUCGCUCAACGGAUAAAAGGUACUCCGGGGAUAACAGGCUGAUACCGCCCAAGAGUUCAUAUCGACGGCGGUGUUUGGCACCUCGAUGUCGGCUCAUCACAUCCUGGGGCUGAAGUAGGUCCCAAGGGUAUGGCUGUUCGCCAUUUAAAGUGGUACGCGAGCUGGGUUUAGAACGUCGUGAGACAGUUCGGUCCCUAUCUGCCGUGGGCGCUGGAGAACUGAGGGGGGCUGCUCCUAGUACGAGAGGACCGGAGUGGACGCAUCACUGGUGUUCGGGUUGUCAUGCCAAUGGCACUGCCCGGUAGCUAAAUGCGGAAGAGAUAAGUGCUGAAAGCAUCUAAGCACGAAACUUGCC
RNAcentral lists this ribosomal RNA (1950 nucleotides) under Escherichia coli. Its description in RNAcentral is "partial 23S ribosomal RNA". It matches the Rfam family "Bacterial large subunit ribosomal RNA", at positions 866 to 2798 of the family's 2925-position model. The record is from RNAcentral. Lineage: Bacteria; Pseudomonadati; Pseudomonadota; Gammaproteobacteria; Enterobacterales; Enterobacteriaceae.